UUCGCUUUUUAUUAUCGCGAUCCAUUGUGACAGUUUUGCAAAGGUACACUGAACCCAAAGAAAGUUUUGCAAAGGUACAGUGAACCAGAUUUUAAUUAAGUUCCAUCCAAGGGAAGUUAGAGAAAACAGAAGAUGGAAUGAAAACCGCAAAGGUGCGCUCAUGUACGUAUAUAUAGUAUGGGAUUAUAGACACACAAUAACCAAUUUGCCCGAAGGACUUAUUGGAUAAAUGAUGAUCAUCAGAUAGAAUUAAUUAACUCCUAUUACAACGUAAACGAUUCGAGAGGGCGUCCCGAUCGAGCUUCGUAUCCGGCCAAUCUCUCUUCUUCUUGUUCUGAAAUCAUCAUCCUCGUUCCGAUGACAGGUGGCGCCCACAUGACGAUGAGCCCCCCUUUGUUGUUGUUUUUAUUUUCCUCGAAAAGAGAGAGUGAACCUGACAAGAAGAAGAGUGGACGUGGGGGCGUACGAAAAAAAAGAAGAAACGAAAAAACUCUCCUGCUCUUCCUGUUGUUGUCGUUGUACGUACGUAGUGUGUACAGCACCAUGCAUGCAAGCGUUCUCUCAUGGAGGGGAGUGGAGUGGAAUUAAUGGAGCUGGGGGAGAGUAAUUU
This 610-nucleotide long non-coding RNA is filed under the name Triticum aestivum (bread wheat). Its description in RNAcentral is "long non-coding RNA (TAES_LNC027662)". Lineage: Eukaryota; Viridiplantae; Streptophyta; Magnoliopsida; Poales; Poaceae. The record is from RNAcentral.